CUCCUCCUGCCCCCCGCCCUUGGACUGCCCGCGCCUCCCGGUGAUCCAGGAGCUGCCGGUACCCACGGCAGCGGGAUCCAGGUUCCAGCAGCUGACCGUGGAGAAGCUGGGAUAUGGAGGGGUUGCUGUCACUCCAGAGAUUCCAGAGGCAUCAUCUCACCUUGGAGAAGCUGGGAUACAGAGGUGUCACUGUCACUCCAUAGAUUCCAGAAGCAUCAUCUCACCUUGGAGGAGUUGGGAUAUGGAGGUGUCACUGUCACUCCCAAGAUUCCAGAGGCAGCAGCUGACCGUGGAAAAGCUGGGAUAUGGAGGCAUUGCUGUUACUCCAGAGGCAUCAUCUGACCUUGGAGAAGUUGGGAUAUGGAGGGGUCGCUGUCACUCCCGAGAUUCCAGAGGCAUCAUCUGACCUUGGAGAAGCUGGGAUACAGAGGUGUCCCUGUCACUCCAGAGAUUCCAGAGGCAGCAGCUGACCUUGGAGGAGUUGGGAUAUGGAGGUGUCACUGUCACACGUCACCACAGAGAGGUGGCCCAGUCUAAAGGCCCUGUGGCACCAGCUGGCACUGGGAGCCAUCCUGGGAGGUGUGGCCCGAGCUGAUGGGAUGUGCUGGGCUCUCCUGGAGAAGAUCCUGGGCAGUCUUGGGUGGUCUCUCGUGCCCAGUGGGAUUUGACAGCCCCAAAGCUUCCUGGGUUGUGCUGGGAAAAACCAGGAUCCGGUGUUGGGAAAACCAGGCCGAGGCUGCACUUCACCAGGAAUUCCAGCAGAGGAGGCCACAGGAGACACGGGAAUGCCGAGGGGAAGGAGUGGCACUCGAGGGACCUCGGGGUGGCACAGAGGGAGCUGUUCCCUCCUUCCAUGGGAAUGGACCUGGGGCUGGACCUGGGGCUCGGGGGAGGCCUGGAAGGACCAAAACUGAGACCUGGAGCUUGGGGGGUCUCCAUCCCUGCAUCCCAACACAUCCAUGGAUCCCUGCAUCCCAGCUCUGCCUCCAGGUGUUCCCUGGAAUCUCAGGGGCUCCUUCCUGGUUUCAGGAAUUUGGGGGCUCAGUCCUUGUGUGGGUGUGGCCGUUCCCAAAGCCCUGCUGGCCCUCAGGAGCUACUCCCCACUGGGAUGUGGGGACAGAGACACUGGAAUGUGCUGGGGACAUUCCUUUGGGAGCCACCCCAAGGGCAGCUGGGGCCCUCUGGGCUGGGAUUUUGGGAAUUCUCACUGCCCAGAGGGUUCAGGAGACUGAAAUCCCAGGGCAGCAGGACCCCAGCACGGCUAAGGACUGGGAAAGGCUCCAGGUGCUGAAAUCGGGGAAUUGGAGGAUAAAAAAUGGAAUUGCAGGGAAAGGAUCUCCGGGGGAACUCCUGCCCAGGUGAGUUUAAAUUGAUCAAAACACCUCAGACCUGGGAUGGGAAACCUCACCUGGAACGUUCAGCUGGGAUGGCAGCAGGCAGGGAAGGUUGGAUUUGUGGGAUAAUCUGCACAAGGAGGAUGUGGAGCUGCUGGAGAGUCCAGAGGAGGCCAUGGAGCCAGGCUGGGAGAGCUGGGAAUGUUCCCCUGGAGAAGGGAAGGCUCCAGGCAGAGCUCAGAGCCCCUGGCAGGGCCUGGAGGGGCUCCAGGAGAGCUGGAGAGGGACUGGGGACAAGGAUGGAGGGACAGGAGCCAGGGAAUGGCUCCCAGUGCCAGAGGGCAGGGAUGGGUGGGAGAUUGG
RNAcentral lists this long non-coding RNA (1697 nucleotides) under Serinus canaria (Common canary). RNAcentral's name for it is "lncRNA (ENSSCAG00000004819.1)". The record is from RNAcentral. Lineage: Eukaryota; Metazoa; Chordata; Aves; Passeriformes; Fringillidae.